UACGUAGGGGGCAAGCGUUGUCCGGAUUUAUUGGGCGUAAAGAGCGUGUAGGCGGCUUUGCAAGUCCGUUGUGAAAACUCGAGGCUCAACCUCGAGACGCCGGUGGAAACUGCAAAGCUAGAGUCCGGAAGAGGAGAGUGGAAUUCCUGGUGUAGCGGUGAAAUGCGCAGAUAUCAGGAAGAACACCCGUGGCGAAGGCGGCGCUCUGGGACGGUACUGACGCUGAGACGCGAAAGCGUGGGGAGCGAACAGG
RNAcentral lists this ribosomal RNA (253 nucleotides) under uncultured bacterium. RNAcentral describes it as "partial 16S ribosomal RNA". It matches the Rfam family "Bacterial small subunit ribosomal RNA", at positions 524 to 776 of the family's 1533-position model. The record is from RNAcentral.